CCUACGGGGGGCAGCAGUGGGGGAUAUUGCACAAUGGGGGAAACCCUGAUGCAGCGACGCCGCGUGAGUGAAGAAGUAUUUCGGUAUGUAAAGCUCUAUCAGCAGGGAAGAAAAUGCCAUUACCUAACCAACAAUCCACUGCUAACUACGUCCCAGCAGCCGCGGUAAUACGGAGGGCGCAAGCGUUAUCCGGAUCUACUGGUUGUAACGGGAGCGUAGACGGUUAUGUAAGUCUAGGGUGAAAGCCCCGCGCCCAACCCGGGGACUGCUUUCGAAACUGGGAAACUGGAGUGCAUGAGGGGAAGGCGGAAUUCCUGGUGUAGCAGUGAAAUGCGUAGAUAUCAGGAGGAACAUCAGCGGCGAAGGCGACCAGCUGG
RNAcentral lists this ribosomal RNA (377 nucleotides) under uncultured bacterium. RNAcentral describes it as "partial 16S ribosomal RNA". It matches the Rfam family "Bacterial small subunit ribosomal RNA", at positions 338 to 732 of the family's 1533-position model. The record is from RNAcentral.